RNAcentral lists this ribosomal RNA (274 nucleotides) under uncultured bacterium. RNAcentral describes it as "partial 16S ribosomal RNA". It matches the Rfam family "Bacterial small subunit ribosomal RNA", at positions 523 to 796 of the family's 1533-position model. The record is from RNAcentral.
AUACGGAGGGUGCAAGCGUUAUCCGGAAUCAUUGGGUUUAAAGGGUCCGUAGGCGGUCUAUUAAGUCAGAGGUGAAAUCCCACAGCUCAACUGCGGAACUGCCUUUGAUACUGGUAGACUUGAGUUACAGUGAAGUAGAUAGAAUGUGUAGUGUAGCGGUGAAAUGCAUAGAGAUUACACAGAAUACCGAUUGCGAAGGCAGUCUACUAACUGUAUACUGGCGCUGAUGGACGAAAGCGUGGGGAGCGAACAGGAUUAGAAACCCUAGUAGUCC